UACGAAGGGAGCUAGCGUUGUUCGGAAUUACUGGGCGUAAAGGGCGCGUAGGCGGGUUUCCAAGUCGGGGGUGAAAUUCCAGGGCUCAACCCUGGGACGGCCUUCGAUACUGGGAGCCCGGAGAUCGGGAGAGGUGAGUGGAACUCCGAGUGUAGAGGUGAAAUUCGUAGAUAUUCGGAAGAACACCAGUGGCGAAGGCGACACACUGGCCCGUAACUGACGCUGAGGCGCGAAAGCGUGGGGAGCAAACGGG
Molecule: ribosomal RNA, 253 nt
Filed under: uncultured bacterium
Lineage: Bacteria
Description: partial 16S ribosomal RNA
Rfam family: Bacterial small subunit ribosomal RNA
Source: RNAcentral